This is a transfer RNA of Ovis aries (sheep), 72 nucleotides long. It matches the Rfam family "tRNA". From Rfam's summary of the family: Transfer RNA (tRNA) molecules are approximately 80 nucleotides in length. Their secondary structure includes four short double-helical elements and three loops (D, anti-codon, and T loops). The record is from Rfam. Lineage: Eukaryota; Metazoa; Chordata; Mammalia; Artiodactyla; Bovidae.
UCCCUGGUGGCUCAGAUGGUAAAGAAUCUGCUUGCCAUGCAGGAGACCCAGGUUCAAUCCCUGGGUCGGGAA